CGGACCAAGGAGUGCAAGAGAUGCGCAAGUCGGAAGGGUUGUGUUGGGGGUCUACCUUCGGGUGGUCCUCACCCUGACAGACCCAUGUGUUUGGAACGGGCGAAGUGAGAGCAAUUCGUGGGUGCGAGAGCCCUCGGUGUAAACACUAGGGCACAUCGCUGGCCGAACCUAAUGGUCACGCUGUGGCCGGUUUCGAGUGCGAGCGUAUCUGUUGCGACCCGAAAGAUGGUGAACUAUGCCUGAGGAGGGUGAAGCCAGAGGAAACUCUGGUGGAGGCCCGUAGCGGUUCUGACGUGCAAAUCGAUCGUCGCACUUGGGUAUAGGGGCGAAAGACUAAUCGAACCAUCUAGUAGCUGGUUCCCUCCGAAGUUUCCCUCAGGAUAGCUGGAGCUCGUUCCGAGCAGUUUCGUCGGGUAAAGCGAAUGAUUAGAGGUAUCGGGGUUGAAAGGACCUCGCCCUAUUCUCAAACUUUAAAUCGGCGAGAAGGGAUUGUCUUGCCUGCUGGAAGACAUCUCUCGAAUGCAGGGGCUCCAAGUGGGCCGUUUUUGGUAAGCAGAACCGGCGAUGCGGGAUGAACCGAACGUUGGGCUAUGGCGCCGGAGUCGACGCUAAACAGAUACCAGGAAAGGUGUUGGUUGAUCCAGACAGCAGGACGGUGGCCAUGGAAGUCGGAAUCCGCUAAGGAGUGUGUAACAAC
Molecule: ribosomal RNA, 697 nt
Filed under: Haliclona sp. 2 NW-2019
Lineage: Eukaryota; Metazoa; Porifera; Demospongiae; Haplosclerida; Chalinidae
Description: partial large subunit ribosomal RNA
Rfam family: Eukaryotic large subunit ribosomal RNA
Source: RNAcentral